This 433-nucleotide ribosomal RNA is filed under the name uncultured bacterium. RNAcentral describes it as "partial 16S ribosomal RNA". It matches the Rfam family "Bacterial small subunit ribosomal RNA", at positions 29 to 507 of the family's 1533-position model. The record is from RNAcentral.
AACGAACGCUGGCGGCAUGCCUAACACAUGCAAGUCGAACGAGACCUUCGGGUCUAGGGGCGCACGGGUGCGUAACGCGUGGGAACCUGCCCUUAGGUUCGGAAUAACUCCCCGAAAGGGGUGCUAAUACCGGAUAAUGUCUUCGGACCAAAGAUUUAUGGCCUUUGGAUGGGCCCGCGUUGGAUUAGCUAGUUGGUAGGGUAAAAGCCUACCAAGGCGACGAUCCAUAGCUGGUCGGAGAGGAUGAUCAGCCACACUGGGACUGAGACACGGCCCAGACUCCUACGGGAGGCAGCAGUGGGGAAUAUUGGACAAGGGGCGAAAGCCUGAUCCAGCAAUGCCGCGUGAGUGAUGAAGGCCUUAGGGUUGUAAAGCUCUUUUACCCGGGAUGAUAAUGACAGUACCGGGAGAAUAAGCUCCGGCUAACUCCGUG